UCGAGAGCCAAAGGUGACAGC
Molecule: microRNA, 21 nt
Filed under: Helianthus annuus (common sunflower)
Lineage: Eukaryota; Viridiplantae; Streptophyta; Magnoliopsida; Asterales; Asteraceae
Source: RNAcentral